GAUGAACGCUGGCGGCGUGCCUAAUACAUGCAAGUCGAGCGAACAGACGAGGAGCUUGCUCCUCUGACGUUAGCGGCGGACGGGUGAGUAACACGUGGAUAACCUACCUAUAAGACUGGGAUAACUUCGGGAAACCGGAGCUAAUACCGGAUAAUAUAUUGAACCGCAUGGUUCAAUAGUGAAAGACGGUUUUGCUGUCACUUAUAGAUGGAUCCGCGCCGCAUUAGCUAGUUGGUAAGGUAACGGCUUACCAAGGCAACGAUGCGUAGCCGACCUGAGAGGGGGAUCGGCCACACUGGAACUGAGACACGGUCCAGACUCCUACGGGAGGCAGCAGUAGGGAAUCUUCCGCAAUGGGCGAAAGCCUGACGGAGCAACGCCGCGGGAGUGAUGAAGGUCUUCGGAUCGUAAAACGCUGUUAUUAGGGAAGAACAAAUGUGUAAGUAACUAUGCACGUCUUGACGGUACCUAAUCAGAAAGCCACGGCGAACUACGU
RNAcentral lists this ribosomal RNA (496 nucleotides) under uncultured bacterium. RNAcentral's name for it is "partial 16S ribosomal RNA". It matches the Rfam family "Bacterial small subunit ribosomal RNA", at positions 28 to 506 of the family's 1533-position model. The record is from RNAcentral.